This 304-nucleotide ribosomal RNA is filed under the name uncultured bacterium. RNAcentral's name for it is "bacterial SSU rRNA". It matches the Rfam family "Bacterial small subunit ribosomal RNA", at positions 1095 to 1397 of the family's 1533-position model. The record is from RNAcentral.
AGCGCAACCCCAUCCAUCGUGUUUGCCAGCGGCUCCGGCCGGGCACUCGGAGGAAACUGCCUGUGACAAGCAGGAGGAAGGCGGGGAUGACGUCAAGUCCUCAUGGCCCGUACGGGCUGGGCUACACACGUGCUACAAUGGCGGUGACAGAGGGCAGCGACGGGGCGACCCCGAGCCAAUCCCGAAAAGCCGUCUCAGUUCGGAUUGCACUCUGCAACUCGAGUGCAUGAAGGUGGAAUCGCUAGUAAUCGCGGAUCAGCAUGCCGCGGUGAAUACGUUCCCGGGCCUUGNACACACCGCCCGU